This 376-nucleotide unclassified non-coding RNA is filed under the name uncultured bacterium. Its description in RNAcentral is "contains 16S-23S intergenic spacer region". The record is from RNAcentral.
UCCGGUUUGACACCGGCAGUCUCCCUAGAGUGCCCGGCUUUACCCGCUGGUAACUAGGGACAAGGGUUGCGCUCGUUGCGGGACUUAACCCAACAUCUCACGACACGAGCUGACGACAGCCAUGCACCACCUGUGCACGAGCCCCGAAGGGCUGCCGUGUUUCCACGACAUUCCCGUGCAUGUCAAGCCUUGGUAAGGUUCUUCGCGUUGCAUCGAAUUAAGCCACAUACUCCACCGCUUGUGCAGGCCCCCGUCAAUUUCUUUGAGUUUUAAUCUUGCGACCGUACUUCCCAGGCGGCUUGCUUAACGCGUUAGCUCCGCCACCGAAGGGCAUGCCCACCGACGGCUAGCAUUCAUCGUUUACGGCGUGGACUAC